UAUCUUCUCUUAAAGGGGCAGUAGGUAAGAUUUAUAAAAGGAACUUUCUGUCUUAUUUGCUUAAACUGACCCAAUGUCCCAGUAGAACUACCUGAAGUAUGUAAUUAA
Etheostoma spectabile (orangethroat darter) is the source of this 108-nucleotide long non-coding RNA. RefSeq lists it as uncharacterized. Lineage: Eukaryota; Metazoa; Chordata; Actinopteri; Perciformes; Percidae. The record is from RefSeq and is a predicted model, not a curated record. The transcript is spliced from 3 exons.